Molecule: long non-coding RNA, 6727 nt
Filed under: Physcomitrium patens
Lineage: Eukaryota; Viridiplantae; Streptophyta; Bryopsida; Funariales; Funariaceae
Description: long non-coding RNA (PPAT_LNC009320)
Source: RNAcentral
UCGAUUGCUCGCCGAAAUCCCUUUUGUCCCAGCCGAUAGGUCUCUAGAUGUUAUAGAGAACCCCAAACAACCCAAUCUGCUGUCACGGACAUACAUAUAAUUACCUAUAUGAAUAGAUAAAAGUAUGUAAAAGUAGAUAAAAGUAGGUUAAUUGUGUAAUAUCUUCUAGAGAAGCUUCUUAGAAGCUUCUUAGAAGCUUCAUAGACGCUGUUUUGACUUUAUAGGAGUCUAUAGUUGACUUUUAGGCUAGAAACUUGGUCAACAAGUUAGCCAUGUGCCACACAUGUUGGAAGCUUAAAGAACAAGCUAACUACGUGGUCCAUCCAUAGAAAAACUUGCCUUGUAAGCAAAGGCAUGUGGCCUAGAAAGUCAACAUAUAUUGGAGGUCUUAUAAAACAUCGCCAUGUGGCUCUAGUUAGAUAGUAUAUAUAGAGGCAAGAGUGAAGCCCUCUUCACUCUUGUCAACUCCUUUCUUGCUUCUAGUCUAGUUUCAAGGGUCUCUAGUUUUCUUGUAUUUUGGCAAUAGCCAUUCCAGUUUCUUUCUUAAUAUACAUAUUUCUAUUUUGUCCUAUUUCUUUUUGAGAAAAGUCUCACUUACUCUUUAGCUUUCAUCGAGUUCUUGUCCUUGACAGAUUGACAAGAGUACACUUACAAUAUCAGAGCUUUGUCUUUUCUUGAUUAAGAGUGGAUUACCCCUUUUUCUUGAUAAGACAUAAGCGCAUUAGAAGUUGCGGAUUACCCUCUUUUAAACUGAUAUUGUUCUUAGUAUUUUCUUUGUUAUCAAUUCCUCUCUUCUAUUUGUUUUGAGCGUUAUUAGACAUCUUCUCUUUUCUAAGUGCUACUAUGGCAGAGCUUGUUGAAAUGAAGAGUGCUAUGGCACAGAUGCAAGAACAAUUGAGGGAGUUAAUGCUUGCGAUGCAUCAACUCAAUUUACCACCACAAGGAGCAACAAGAAUGGUAGGAAGUGAAGAUAUAGAGAUGAUUGGGGCUGCUUCAACAUCUGCACCAAACCAUGUCCCUUCUCCCAGAAUGGAACACCCUUCGAGUGUUAGAGAACCGAGAGUUGCCUUGCCCGAGAAGUUUGAUGGUACCAGAUCCAAGUUUCGAGGAUUCAUCAAUCAGGUCCAACUAGUGAUUGAACUUCAAUCCCAAAGCUAUCCAACUCCAGGGUCACAAGUUAGAUUCAUUGGUACACUUCUUUCAGGUUCAGCAUUGUCAUGGUUUUCAUCUUUUCUUGAACGACGAGAUCCAAUAUUGGAUAAUUUAGAGGCUUUUUUGGCGGAGUUUCGAUCCAUGUUUGGAGAACAUGAUGCAAUUCGUGUUGCAACCAACAAGAUCCGUAUUUUGCGACAAGGCAAUCGAUCAGUAACAUUAUAUGCUUCGCAAUUUCGACAACUUGCAACUGAUAUCAAGUGGGAUGAUGCCGCACUUGUGAGUCAAUUUCUCUACGGAUUACAAUAUGAGGUAAAGAAAUUGAUGCUUAAUUUACCUGAUCCUCAAACAUUGAGUCAAGCAAUUGACUUUGUUGUGAAGUGCGACAAUCGACUUUUUGAAUUUCGAUCCGAGAGUCGCACAAGUAGGCCUCAACAUUACUACAAUUCAAUGGCAACACCGACGUCUCCUCAACACAUACCUUCAGAAGUAGAGGAUAUGCAAAUUGAUGCGGUACGUUUCAAACCUCUUACUGAGCAAGAAAAGUCUCGUCGUCGACAAGAAGGAUUGUGCUUAUAUUGUGGAGAACCUAAGCACACUGCUCAACAUUGUCCAAAGAAGCGACGUAACUACAAAAUGAGGAGUACGGCUGUCAAAGAAGACAGUAUGUCGGAAAACGAGUACGUCCAGCUACAAUAGGGACCGUGCGGCUGGAAUCUUGUACAACUUCUAAUGAAGGUCCUAUCCUCUCCUCAGAACCAUCUCCUUGUUUUAUAAUAGAUGUGCAUUUAGGACCUAAUAAUUACAAAGCCUCUGCCUUGAUAGAUUCAGGAGCCUCAGCUUGUUUUUUAGAUGGAGAAUUUGCUAGAUGUCAUAGAAUAUCAUUAAUACAAAAAACUAAACCUGUACACGUAGAAGUCAUAGAUGGUCGUCCGUUGUCUUCUGGAGAUGUAACUCACGAAACACUUCCUGUAGAUGUAGUAAUAAAUGGUCAUAGUAGUUGCGUAAUUUUUAAUAUAAUUAGAUCUCCCUCUAAUCCAGUAAUUUUAGGCUUAUCAUGGUUAGAAAAGUAUAAUCCUCGAAUAGAUUGGAUUUCUCGUAAACUUGAUUUUUCUCGGAGCAUUAGUAACAGUUCUAUUAAUCAAGUAAAAAACCAUGAGUCUAGUAUAGUAAAACCCGCACUUAUAGGUGCAAAAGCAUUUAUACACGCAGCAAAAGAAGGAUCAACUUUUGCUAUUUAUGCUGCACCUAUUUCUGAAAGCGUAAAGACUUCAAGUGGCAUUCCAAGUCAAUAUCAGGAUUAUCAAGACGUUUUUGAGAAAAAGAAUGCAGAUAUUCUUCCUGAGCAUCGCCCAUACGAUUGUUCAAUCGAUCUCAAGGAAGGAACUCAGCCACCAUUUGGACCAAUUUACAGUUUAUCGCAAGAUGAGUUGGCUAAACUCAAGACAUAUAUGGACGAGAAUUUAGCGAAGAAUUUCAUACGCCAUUCAAAAUCUCCAGCAGGAGCUCCAAUUUUAUUCGUAAAGAAAAAAGAUGGAUCUUUACGAAUGUGUGUUGACUAUCGAGGACUCAACAAGAUCACAAUCAAGAACAGGUAUCCAUUACCUUUGAUAUCAGGACUCCUUGACCAGUUAAAUCAAGCUAAGAUCUAUACAAAAAUAGAUCUAAGAGGAGCAUAUAAUCUAGUACGGAUCAAAGAAGGAGAUGAAUGGAAGACUGCGUUUCGAACCAGGUAUGGACAUUUCGAAUACAAUGUCAUGCCUUUUGGACUCACGAAUGCACCAGCUGCUUUUCAACAUCUCAUGAAUGAUGUAUUUCGUGAAUUCUUAGACAAUUUUGUCGUCUGCUACCUAGACGAUAUCCUGAUUUAUUCUAAGAAUGUUGAAGAACAUGAAAUACAUGUUCGUCAAGUAUUACAAAAACUUAGAGAUGCAGGAUUGUACGCCAAGAUAGAAAAGUGUGUAUUUCACACUACUCAAGUUGACUUUUUAGAAUACAUCAUUUCAAAUGAUGGUCUUAUGAUGGAUUCUAAGAAAGUCCAAACAAUCAUGGAUUGGAAGAUUCCAAAGACUGUAAGAGAUGUCCAAUGUUUCUUGGGAUUUGCCAAUUACUAUCGGAUCUUCAUCAAAGACUUCUCACGAGUUGCAGCUCCACUUACACGCUUGACUAGUAAAGAUAAAUUCCAAUGGAAUCAAGAAGCGGAAGCAGCAUUUGAAGCCUUGAAGACAUCGUUUGUCUCUGCACCAGUCUUAUAUAGUGUUGACUUUUCCAAGGUAUUUUUUAUGGAAACAGAUGCAUCGGAUUUUGCCUUGGGUGCAGUUUUAUCACAAAUGGGAACAGAUGACAAACUUCAUCCGAUAGCUUUUCAUUCAAGAAAAUUCUCAGCAGCCGAGAUCAAUUAUGAGAUCCACGAUAAAGAACUUCUUGCAAUCGUGGAUUCUUUUUAAGAAUGGCAUCAUUAUCUAGAAGGUGCUUCUAGUCCAGUCACUGUGUAUACAGAUCAUUAGAACCUCGAGUAUUUCAUGUCAGCACGCGUGUUGAAUCGUCGUCAAGCUCGUUGGAGUAUGUCUUUGUCAAGAUUCGACUUCAUUAUCACUUAUCGGCCAGGAAAACAACAAGGUUUGUCCGAUGCCCUAUCUAGACGUUCUUAUUUUGCACCAAAAGAAGGAGAUGCAGCUUUUGAGCAACAAAGAACGGUCCUCUUGAAACCGGAGCAAUUUCAUCUCCGAGCAGUGAAAUCAACACUGACUGUUGAUUCAACUUUUCUCAAGCAAAUCCAGUCCAGUAUGUCCUCAGACCCUCUUGUUCAUGAUAUCGAGAAUAAUUCUUCCAAGUCUCAUGAUUCUUCUAAGUUCGAGUUCAAGAAUAAUCUAUUAUAUUUUGAAGGACGCCUAUAUGUUCCAGAAGGAAAAGCACGUUUGCGUGUUCUUCAAGCACGUCAUGACUUUCCAGCAGCAGGUCACUUUGGAUAUAAUAAGACUCUGGAACUCAUAUCAAGAGAUUUUUGGUGGCCACAAAUGUGGAAGUCAGUCAAAGACUUUGUACAAUCAUGUGAUAUUUGUUCAAGAUCAAAAAUUCCUCGACAUCGACCUUACGGACUUCUUCAGCCAUUACCUAUACCAGAACAACCAUGGUCUUCUGUUUCUAUGGAUUUCAUCACAGAUCUUCCAAACUCAAGAUCUUAUGAUUCUAUAUUUGUGAUAGUAGAUCGUUUCACCAAGAUGGCACAUUUUAUGCCAUGUACAAAAUCUAUCACAGGUGAAGAAAAAGCUAAGCUUUUCAUUGAUAAUAUCUAUCGCUAUCAUGGAUUACCUAAAGAUAUCAUAUCGGAUAGGGGAACUCAAUUUGUGUCGAGAUUCUGGAGGACUCUUUUCAAGAUUUUAAAAGUGGACAUAAAGCUAUCUUCAGCUUUCCAUCCUCAAACUGAUGGACAAAUAGAGCGCGUAAACCAAGUCUUGGAACAGUAUUUAAGGUGUACCAUCAACUACCAACAAGAUGAUUGGACAAACCUUCUGCCAUUGGCAGAGUUUGCUUAUAAUAAUACGGUACAUUCCUCCACGCAACAAACACCUUUCUUUGCCAAUUAUGGCUAUCAUCCACGACUUGAUACUUUUGAUUUUUCAAAAGUUGAUAAUCCUGCAGCAGAAGAUAUGGCAAAUCGGUUGUCAGAGUUACAUGCAAUAAUGAAGGCGCAGUUGAAGAAAGCUCAAGAACGACAAAAGAUAAAUGCAGAUGUAUAUCGUAAAGAGCAACCACAACUCAACGUGGGUGAUAAGGUAUGGCUACUUCGUCGCAAUAUCAAGACCACUCGACCUUGUGACAAAUUGGACUAUCGUAGGCUUGGCCCCUUUUUUGUUUCUGAACAGAUCAACCCAGUUGCAUAUCGGUUACAUCUACCGGAGUCAAUGAAGAUCCAUCCUGUAUUCCACGUGUCUCUUCUUGAACCAUAUAAGACAAUGGAUAUACAAGGAAGAAGACAAAUGCCACCGCCUCCUAUAGAAGUAGAUAAUAAUGAAGAAUUUGAGGUGGAAGAGAUAUUAGACUCAAAGCGGCGCCGAAAUAAGCUGGAAUAUCUUGUUCAUUGGCACGGAUAUGACAUUAGUGAGCGCACAUGGGAGCCAUCCAGGAAUCUAGCAAAUGCAUCAGCUAAAGUCAAAGUUUUUCAUCAACGACAUCCAUCAAAACCAAGAUGAAAACCUCUCUUAUAAAAGAGACAAGAUUGAGGCAAGAUAACAUUCAAUUUCCUAUCCUUGUUUGUAACUUCUUUACAUUUGUGACACUAAUUAGAUGGAGAGCCAACAACCAGCGGAUUCAACUCAAGAACCUUCGUUUGCUGACCUGCCGGACGAGACAUUACGAUUGUCACAACCUUCAAGACGACGCAAUCGAGAUGAAGAUCUUCAAGAACGACAUGUUCUUCCUCGAACAGAUGGUGAGAUACAACGCGUUUGGUAUCACGAUUUGGGAAGGGAUUCUCGAUGUUUGGUGAUAUUAUUAGAGAUAGGAACGACUCCUGAUGGUAUUUCAAAUGUAUUAUUUGAAGGAAGUUAUGAAGGCCUCAACAGUGAUCAAAUAACAGGGUGGUCUUCUCGCCCUGGAAUGGGACACUAUCGAUGGCUAAGAGGACCCAUCAACUAUCUUCGAAGAGAACAAAGAUCAGAGUAUGUAGCAAAUACAAUUCGCCGCAUAUUAGACUUUCUCAAUAUAUAAUCACCGCUCCUCGUGGAACUCGUCCCUAGAAGGGGGGGUAAUGUCACGGACAUACAUAUAAUUACCUAUAUGAAUAGAUAAAAGUAUGUAAAAGUAGAUAAAAGUAGGUUAAUUGUGUAAUAUCUUCUAGAGAAGCUUCUUAGAAGCUUCUUAGAAGCUUCAUAGACGCUGUUUUGACUUUAUAGGAGUCUAUAGUUGACUUUUAGGCUAGAAACUUGGUCAACAAGUUAGCCAUGUGCCACACAUGUUGGAAGCUUAAAGAACAAGCUAACUACGUGGUCCAUCCAUAGAAAAACUUGCCUUGUAAGCAAAGGCAUGUGGCCUAGAAAGUCAACAUAUAUUGGAGGUCUUAUAAAACAUCGCCAUGUGGCUCUAGUUAGAUAGUAUAUAUAGAGGCAAGAGUGAAGCCCUCUUCACUCUUGUCAACUCCUUUCUUGCUUCUAGUCUAGUUUCAAGGGUCUCUAGUUUUCUUGUAUUUUGGCAAUAGCCAUUCCAGUUUCUUUCUUAAUAUACAUAUUUCUAUUUUGUCCUAUUUCUUUUUGAGAAAAGUCUCACUUACUCUUUAGCUUUCAUCGAGUUCUUGUCCUUGACAUCUGCUAAUCUCCGAUACUGAUUUAUACUCAUGACCUUGUAUCCACUGACUGUCUUCUUAGAUUAACCCAAAAAUUUUCAUUCACUCUGCAUACUCAAUUCUAUAGACACCUUUUUAAUUCUUCAAUCACAGACGUAACUUCGAUUUCACAAAACAGUCAAGAGUAAUCACACCCACUUCAUUAAAACCCUGAUUCAUCAGUACAACACAUCGAUCUUUUAACAUUGAUUGCCAAAAGUUCCUUUUCUGACCCCUAUCCAAAAACCUUGUAUC